Molecule: ribosomal RNA, 501 nt
Filed under: uncultured bacterium
Lineage: Bacteria
Description: partial 16S ribosomal RNA
Rfam family: Bacterial small subunit ribosomal RNA
Source: RNAcentral
AUUGAACGCUGGCGGCAUGCCUUACACAUGCAAGUCGAACGGCAGCACGGGUGCUUGCACCUGGUGGCGAGUGGCGAACGGGUGAGUAAUACAUCGGAACGUACCUUAUCGUGGGGGAUAACGCAGCGAAAGCUGUGCUAAUACCGCAUACGCCCCGAGGGGGAAAGCGGGGGAUCGAAAGACCUCGCGCGAUUAGAGCGGCCGAUGCCUGAUUAGCUUGUUGGUGGGGUAAAAGCCCACCAAGGCGACGAUCAGUAGCUGGUCUGAGAGGACGAUCAGACACACUGGGACUGAGACACGGCCCAGACUCCUACGGGAGGCAGCAGUUGGGAAUUUUGGACAAUGGGGGCAACCCUGAUCCAGCAAUGCCGCGUGAGUGAAGAAGGCCUUCGGGUUGUAAAGCUCUUUUGUCAGGGAAGAAACACCGGCUCUAACACAGUCCGGGAAUGACGGUACCUGAAGAAUAAGCACCGGCUACCUACGUGCCAGCCGCCGCGGUAA